Xenopus laevis (African clawed frog) is the source of this 5206-nucleotide RNA transcript. It is a transcript of the gene named ITPR interacting domain containing 2 L homeolog, with no coding region annotated. Lineage: Eukaryota; Metazoa; Chordata; Amphibia; Anura; Pipidae. The transcript is spliced from 18 exons. The record is from RefSeq and is a predicted model, not a curated record.
UGAGAAAGAAACAGUCAGUUCGCUGAUUAUCUUGCGCAUGCGUGCUGCGUUCCUGUGGCUCCAGCUACGUAAAAGUUUUUAACAAGUGAUUCAAAAGAAGCAGAGAGCGAGUGGAAAAGGCGGGGGCGGAGGAAGAGGAAAGUAGAGAGGAGCUGGGCCGGGAGCAGACGCUAUUGCACACAGCAGGCCGAGCCUUCCUAGCUCAUUAGAAACUUUCAGCGGCGACGCGCACAAUGGAGCGAGUUCCUUGGUAACCUGGUCUCCUGCAAUGUUUCCUUUGCUUCGGCCAAUCAGUGCCCGGGACUAGGAGAGGUGCGGCGCUGAAGGGGUGCUCCUGUUGUCCCCCUGACUUCGCUAAUAACAUGACCGAGUCUGCGACCGUGGACCAGAGCGCUCUAGAGGAAGUUCCUCCGAGUCGGGGUUUGGCUUCUAUGAAAAGAAAGGCCUGGGCCAAGAGCAGAGAUUCCUGGCAGGCUUCGGAGUGCGAGGAUGUUGCAGCGGAAGCGAGCAAGGCUACACGGGAGGAGGGGACAGAGCAUAUACCCAAUGAAAAGAUAGCAAUAUGGCUGAAGGACUGUAGAACCCCGCUGGGAGCGUCUUUGGAUGAGCAGAACAAUCCUGUUAGCUCACAGAAAGGCAUGCUAUUAAAGAAUGGUGGAAGCUUUGAAGAUGAUUUGUCUCUUGGAGCAGAAGCUAAUCACCUCCUUCAAAGAUACCUGCCGCUGGAUACCCCUUUUAGUGCCGUGCUGGCAAAGGAGCGCAGAUUCCAGUUUCACCAGAAAGGGAGAAGCAUGAACUCCACUGGUUCUGGGAAGAGCAGCACCACUGUAUCAAGUGUUUCAGAGUUACUAGAUUUAUACGAAGAAGACCCAGAAGAAAUUCUUUACAAUCUUGGAUUUGGUAAAGAUGAACCAGAUAUCGCUUCUAAAAUACCAUCAAGGUUUUUCAACAAUUGUUCUCUUGCCCAUGGGAUUGAUAUCAAACUGUUUUUGAAUGCUCAGAUGCAACGUUUAGAAGUGGAAAAUCCCAACUUUGCAUUAACAAGUCGAUUUCGACAGAUUAAAGUCCUUACUGAUGUGGCAAAUGCAUUUUCUUCUUUAUACUCUCAAGUUAGUGGAACCCCACUUGAGAGAAUAGGUAGCUCCAAAUGUCUGAUACCUGAUAAAGAUCAAGAACCUGCCAAGCCAGCACCUCUGGUAAGGUCUUCAAGCAGGCUAAUGGAAACCAUAUCCAAACUUAAUUUGUAUGGGAAUCGGUUAACUUCAGAGAGCAACGCUUCUGACGAUGACAAACGUCAAAACGGCCAAGAUGGCUCUGUUAAAAUAGAUCAAAAAUCACAGAAACUUUUUAAAAAGAAUUCUCCACCUCUGGCCACAGUUAGCGAGGAGACUUCAAACUCUGGGAUAGUCUUGGACUUAAACCCCAUUGAUACCUCUUCCCUUCCAAAAGAGAAAAGUGCUGAUAAUUUGGAUGAAGUAUUGACUGGGUCUUGCACUGAAAAGACAGAAGAGAGUUCAGUUAGCCAAAAUGAAUAUGACAUUUCAAGUAUUGCAGACUCCUCUGCUAAAAAUACAGAUAUUAUUACAGAUCAGGAGUCAGAAAGUUAUCUAACAGAAGAAACCCCUCACACAUCUACACCAGAGAAGGAGUUGUAUGCACCAAACAAAACAAUACUGAACCUGCUCAAUCAGCCAAAGGACUCUUUUGAGCUUGAAGAGUUGCAGGGAACAGAAGAUGAACCUCUGCACAACCCUCAGUCGUGUCACAUCUUAGAAAAGCUGGGCAAAGAUAAUCUGCUGAGAACCGCCAGCCAACAUUCUGAUAGUAGCGGGUUUGCUGAAGACACAUCUGCAGACUCUCCUUUAGCCAGUCUUGCCCAAGGCCAGGAAUCAUUGCAAGCCAUGGGAAGCAGCGCUGACAGCUGUGACAGUGAAACAACUGUUACAUCGGUGGGUGAGGACCUUCGGACGCCAUUAGCAACAGACCAGCCAGAAUCCACUGACUUUGACUUUGAGGAUGAGUUCUUAACGCCAAAUUUCAUCGUGGAAAGCAACAUUUUUUUCAGGGACAACCAAGAAAGUAAGACGGAAAGAUUACAAACUGACUCGGAACAAUUAAAUCCAUCAGAGGAAUGCAAAUCUAAUGAGGACCUACUCUCUGUCAUGGAGAGUAAUACUGAAGAAUCUGACUUGCCUCACGAUUAUGCAGUAGAAAGUGAAAUUGAUACUGUCAGUGAGUAUGAAGCAAUUCCCUAUACCACCCAUCAUAUUCCUGAACUGGUGGAUUCUUAUUCAGACUACGGAUAUAAUCAUAGCUGUUCAGAAAAAAAUAGUUCCUGUUCUCUGGACCGUGUAAAUGUGGCAUUGCAGAGAGCACAAAUGAAAGUGAUCAGUACCUCAGAGGAGGCCACCUGUAGAACUGGCCGCACCAUAAUAACUUCAAAGGACCUGAUAAAAAAGAGAGGCAAUUUCUCCAACUCCAGCUACCCACUAAGGAGGUCACAGUCAUUGCCUUCUGCCCUGCUUAACCCAGUUAGAGUUGUGUCCAAGGUAAAUAUUGUUCUAACAUCAGGCAAAGCAACUGUGUGUAGCCCCCCCUCAUUCUCCUACAAGUAUUCUCCAGAGGAAGAAGAAUCUUUGGAACAAAUAGAGGAAGACCCCGACACUAACUCCAGCCCUGAUGACAUCUCUCCAAAAUCAGAACUAAAAGAGGUGCAUAAAAGUGGGCCACAGAGAAUACCAGAAGAUCCCCAUCCAAGGCCCCAGUCUUGCACUACACAUGCACCAUCAAACAGGUCACAAUCUUCCUGUUCUCUGCAUUCAUUGCUCUCAGAUUGGCAUGAAAAGUCAUUGUGUGAUCAUGGAAGAGCAUGGAGCACACACAGUGUCCCUAAUUGUUCGGGAGCACCAUGUGGAAACUUUAUCUCACCCUUUUCUUGUCCGGUGGCUCCCCGGUUUCCUUAUGGAUCUCUUCAUAGGUCUUGUUCUGGAUGUACACUGCCCAUAAAUUCUCCACCUUCUACUACUGAAAUGCAGUUACGGAGAGUGCUGCAUGACAUAAAAAGCUCGCUACAGAACCUUUCACAGCACCCUGUAAUGAGAGGGAAUGACAGAUCUGCAAGUGGAUUCAGUAUGCAUCGAUCUUCUGUUCUGCCACUAUAUGAGAAUACCUUCCAGGAGCUUCAGAUCAUGAGGAGAAGUCUUAACUUAUUUAGAACACAGAUGAUGGACUUGGAACUCAGUAUGUUACGCCAGCAAACAAUGGUCUACCAGCAUCUUACUGAAGAUGAAAGAUAUGAAGCUGACCAGCUACAGGGCUUGAGAAAUUCAGUACGGAUGGAGCUGCAGGAGCUGGAACUACAGUUGGAUGAACGACUCUUGACUCUUGAGGAACAACUGAGAAACUUUCAUGUUUCCCCCUUUCAGAGGCAGUCUUCUAUGGGAAUGUAUGGAGGCAGGAGUACUGAAAACCUCUCUUUCUCCUCUCCUCUGAAUGUCAUAGAACCAGUAACUGAACUCAUUCGAGAGCAAACUCACCUAAAAUCUGAGCUGGGGCUUGAGGGUUUGAGUUUAGGACCUGGUGGAGACCGCUGUGAUUCCGUGGCCUCUGAUACUUCCUCUAUUUACUCAAGUCCACCCCAUAAAAGUAAGAAAGGAUUAACAAGUUCCUGUGACUCAAUUGACAAAUCAAAACCUCACCCUACAUCAAGCAAAAAUAUUUUUCGGGCAUCUGUUGCUUUGACGCCAAGUCCUCCGACUAGACCAGGCGAUAUUCAGAACCCUGUUGAUGAUAUGCCAGAGGAUUAUGGGAAAUUAAAAGUGGAGCCUACAGAGAAACCUGAACAGGUUCUGUUAUCAUCCCCAGCCAAUGAGAGUGCCAAAUGGACUGCUGAAGAGAGUAUAGAGUUGCAGCAAGUAAUACGUGAGAUAAAAGAAUCAAUUGUUGGAGAUAUCCGAAGAGAGAUUGUGAGUGGACUUCUUGCUGCAGUAUCUUCUCCAAUUCGCUCAUUGGAUGGCAAAACUGACGGGAGAAUUUAAGGCAAGGGCUUGGAUAGUAUGAGAAUACCUUACUGGAAAAGGGUGCAGAUAUGCAUUAGACGCAACCUACCCAAAUGUCUGGUCGUCAAGAAUUGGGUCCGUUAGCAAAAAUCGACAGAAACCUUUCCUUUAUGAAACGAGUCGUGGUGCCGAGCACAAGAUUCAGGAGAGAAAUAUGCUGCUGACACAACCUACUGUUUGUCUAAAUUACGUUGUGCAUUUCCCUUGAACCGAUGUGUGUUUAUUUAGGCGCUAUGCUUGUUUCCAAUAAGUGAACUGUGGAGGUCUGUAAAUUGUAUUUAUUUCAUUGUGCUGUUUUCCCCUUAAAGAUUUUUUUUUUUUGGAUUUUGAGAAACUUGAAUUUUUUUUUCUUUUACUAAUAUGUAACCUUCCCACUGCUAGUCGGGAAAUGGACAGUGCGCUGCGAGAGGUGAAACGGUUAAUUUACAAUGUACCUUAAUCUGUCUAGCUUGGACACUGACCUCCAUGAGGUAUCAACUGUGCAAUAUGUGAUUCACUUUGAGAGCUUACAACAAACUUUGUAUUUUCUACUGCUGUGUAGUGCCACAUUAAGCCAAUGUUCUGAAUAUUUGCUGUAUUAAAUUCAAGACAGAGCUAUAGAGAUAUAAAUAUCCCCCCCCCCUUCUAUUUGUGCUUGUGUGGAAUUCUACCUAAACUACUUCAAGUUCUUACACUGAAAGCUGUUUUUCUUCACAAAUAUUUAAAUGAUUUCCAGUAGCUCGGUCAGGGUUUUUUGUUUUUUUUUUAAAUGUGCCACAUUUUAACACUAUAUUUUUUUUAAUUUUGUUUCCCAUGUGAUUCAAACCAUUUUGAGUGCAAUUGAGCGCAUUGUACUACUGAUGACUGGAAGCCAAAUACAGUUAGUUGUAAAGCAUACUUUCCCCGCUGUAGCACUAUCCAGUCAUGUGGGUUUUAGUUCCUCUCUGACACUGUUUGAAGUCGAUCUCAAACCAAGGCAUGUUGUGGCACAUUGAAUAUUGUUGGGAAAAACCUUUGUGCAGGUUUCAUCAUUUAAUAUUCUGCUGAGCUCCAGCUAGAAGAUUCAUUAGAUUUUAAAUGUUCUGCUGAAAGUCUAACAAGCAAAAAAUAUAUAUACAGUACACAAGGGCUGAUUUCUAAAUAUAUAAAUAAAGUAUUUAUUUUGCAUA